RNAcentral lists this ribosomal RNA (1242 nucleotides) under Staphylococcus aureus. Its description in RNAcentral is "partial 23S ribosomal RNA". It matches the Rfam family "Bacterial large subunit ribosomal RNA", at positions 215 to 1461 of the family's 2925-position model. The record is from RNAcentral. Lineage: Bacteria; Bacillati; Bacillota; Bacilli; Caryophanales; Staphylococcaceae.
GGAAGAGAAAGAAAAUUCGAUUCCCUUAGUAGCGGCGAGCGAAACGGGAAGAGCCCAAACCAACAAGCUUGCUUGUUGGGGUUGUAGGACACUCUAUACGGAGUUACAAAGGACGACAUUAGACGAAUCAUCUGGAAAGAUGAAUCAAAGAAGGUAAUAAUCCUGUAGUCGAAAAUGUUGUCUCUCUUGAGUGGAUCCUGAGUACGACGGAGCACGUGAAAUUCCGUCGGAAUCUGGGAGGACCAUCUCCUAAGGCUAAAUACUCUCUAGUGACCGAUAGUGAACCAGUACCGUGAGGGAAAGGUGAAAAGCACCCCGGAAGGGGAGUGAAAUAGAACCUGAAACCGUGUGCUUACAAGUAGUCAGAGCCCGUUAAUGGGUGAUGGCGUGCCUUUUGUAGAAUGAACCGGCGAGUUACGAUUUGAUGCAAGGUUAAGCAGUAAAUGUGGAGCCGUAGCGAAAGCGAGUCUGAAUAGGGCGUUUAGUAUUUGGUCGUAGACCCGAAACCAGGUGAUCUACCCUUGGUCAGGUUGAAGUUCAGGUAACACUGAAUGGAGGACCGAACCGACUUACGUUGAAAAGUGAGCGGAUGAACUGAGGGUAGCGGAGAAAUUCCAAUCGAACCUGGAGAUAGCUGGUUCUCUCCGAAAUAGCUUUAGGGCUAGCCUCAAGUGAUGAUUAUUGGAGGUAGAGCACUGUUUGGACGAGGGGCCCCUCUCGGGUUACCGAAUUCAGACAAACUCCGAAUGCCAAUUAAUUUAACUUGGGAGUCAGAACAUGGGUGAUAAGGUCCGUGUUCGAAAGGGAAACAGCCCAGACCACCAGCUAAGGUCCCAAAAUAUAUGUUAAGUGGAAAAGGAUGUGGCGUUGCCCAGACAACUAGGAUGUUGGCUUAGAAGCAGCCAUCAUUUAAAGAGUGCGUAAUAGCUCACUAGUCGAGUGACACUGCGCCGAAAAUGUACCGGGGCUAAACAUAUUACCGAAGCUGUGGAUUGUCCUUUGGACAAUGGUAGGAGAGCGUUCUAAGGGCGUUGAAGCAUGAUCGUAAGGACAUGUGGAGCGCUUAGAAGUGAGAAUGCCGGUGUGAGUAGCGAAAGACGGGUGAGAAUCCCGUCCACCGAUUGACUAAGGUUUCCAGAGGAAGGCUCGUCCGCUCUGGGUUAGUCGGGUCCUAAGCUGAGGCCGACAGGCGUAGGCGAUGGAUAACAGGUUGAUAUUCCUGUACCACCUAUAAUCGUUUUA